GCACGGCGGCGAGCCGUGUCCGCGGUGGGACUCAGCRUGGCGUGCUUGCACCUCGGGUGCCGYGGCYCCCGCUCCGGCGAGUCUUYCCGGCCGAGGUCRGGGAAGCGUCGGCGGCGGGAGAGYYGCGGUGCCGCCYGCGCAUUUUCCGCCCGGACUCGUCAGCGAGGAUCGCCUCGGGCCCAGAAGAGCCGCGGGGUAGGUGACUCGGCGGCGGCCYCGGCCCCGUCGAGAGCUUAUAGCCCGCGGCUGCGGCCGCGGUCGCGGCCCGAGCGUCGAUCGAGGCGCGUUUGCGAGCGUGGAUUCGCCGGAGAGGCCGGGCGACUCGGGACGGGCGAUUGCCCGCCCCUCGCCCCGGCUCCGACGCUGGCGUCGAGUCGCUGCCGUGCGACCCGUCUUG
Molecule: small RNA, 397 nt
Filed under: Haliclona sp. GW33298
Lineage: Eukaryota; Metazoa; Porifera; Demospongiae; Haplosclerida; Chalinidae
Description: partial large subunit ribosomal RNA
Source: RNAcentral